RNAcentral lists this long non-coding RNA (8234 nucleotides) under Daucus carota (carrot). RNAcentral's name for it is "long non-coding RNA (DCAR_LNC005490)". The record is from RNAcentral. Lineage: Eukaryota; Viridiplantae; Streptophyta; Magnoliopsida; Apiales; Apiaceae.
AAAGGCUUAAAGAUGAGAUGAUUGAUUGAGAUUGUGAGUAAGGCUAAUGCUAGGCGAGGAGACAGAGUUGAGGAUCCAGUGGUCGAGGAGUGUUCAGGAAAGUUGAUGAGGUUGGUGCAAGCUGGAAUAGUUGACAGUGAUUCUUCUUAUCGAAGAUGAUCUGAUUUGGUAAGAGAUGUUGUGUAAUAAUAGUGGUAGAUUCUAAUUUCAAUACUGUAACCUGGAUGCGAUCCUGUUGUUUUGGGGGGUUUAAAUGUUCUCUUUUAAAUCUUUUAUUUAACGUCUUUCAAAUCUUUUAUUAAAUGUUUUCAAGUUUUAAAUCUUUUGGAUUUUCAUUAUCUUUAAAAAAAAAAAAAAAAAUACAGGUUUUCAAGGGUGUUUUUAAAAGGUUUUGUGUGGUGACGUCAGAAUCCAGGCCCCCGGAUUCCUGGACUGUCACAGUUGGUAUCAGAGCAACAGGUUAUAAGUAUUUGAAAUUAGAAUAUAGAUCCUAGUUAUAGGUUUUCUAGAGAAGAAUGUGGUGUAACCUCACAUAGAGGUAUGGUCGGACUAUUUAGGAAUAGUCUAGAAAUGUGAGUGAAGCAUAGAGUUUAGUUAGAUGAUCAAGUUAAGUGGGGAUAUUUAAAGAGAUUAGGAUUCUUAAGUUUAGACGUAUGAUUUCUAGUAUGUUGAUUAAUUGAGAUAGUGAAUUGUGGAAAAGGUCAGUAUUAGACCUAUAUAGAAGAGUUUGAUAGUAAAUGAUUGAGUUGAGAAUGGUGAAAAUGCAGAGUUCAGAGUAUUCUGACUAUACUGCAUAGUUAAAAAUGGUCUAUGGUAUUGAUUUGAGAAUGAUAAAGAUGCAUGGUUCAUAGUAUGUUGACCAUGUCAGAUAUUUGGAAAAGGUAUAUUGUUUUAGUGAGAUGUGAAGAGUUACUGUAAGAUAUGAGUUGUACUGAAUUAGAAGGAGAGAUUUGUAGAUAGAGGUUGAUAGAUGAGAAGUGCAUGAUAGAGAGUAUGUGGAAUUGAGUCCAGUUAUUAGAGAUGAUGUCUACGAGUCAAUUAGAACGUUAGUCCUCGACGACAACGCUUCAAGUUAAUCGGGAUUUCAAAUGGCAUCAAGGUGGGCCCAUAACCCACAGGUUGAUGAUCCAGACAAUCGAAGAUACGUUACGUGUUUGUGCUAUGGAUUUCAAAGGCAACUGGGAUAAAGAAGAAGAAUGUAAACUACUUGGGCCAGAGUUAUUACGGACGAUAACGUCUACGAUGACAUCUUACGAGACUAUUACGAGUCAAAUCGAUUGAUUGUCGAGAACGUUGAAAGGAUAACAUAAAUUGAAUAACGAUUUCGUAAAGUAGAGUGGGAAUUUGAGAAGACCUUGGCAAUAUCUCUCUUCAACUAAAAAUUCUUUUGAUUGUUUUCUCAUCAGUGAGAUAUUAUCAUGAUAUCUUUUCUAUAAAAGUUUUGAUAAAUGAGAUCUUCAAUUUCUCAAAUUCUAAGAUGAUAAUGAUAUUGAUUAUUGGUGUGAGUUAGUAUUGAAUCGGUGUAUGAUAAAGGCGUGUUUAUGAAGAGACAGUGGAAUUCCUUGAUAUUCUUUCAUCAUCCUUGAUAUUCCUUGAUGUUCUUUGAUAUUCUCGAGAUUCUUUGACAUUCGUUGAUAUUCCUUGACCAAUGGUGAAAAUGCAGAGUUCAGAGUAUUCUGACUAUACUGCAUAGUUAAAAAUGGUCUAUGGUAUUGAUUUGAGAAUGAUAAAGAUGCAUGGUUCAUAGUAUGUUGACCAUGUCAGAUAUUUGGAAAAGGUAUAUUGUUUUAGUGAGAUGUGAAGAGUUACUGUAAGAUAUGAGUUGUACUGAAUUAGAAGGAGAGAUUUGUAGAUAGAGGUUGAUAGAUGAGAAGUGCAUGAUAGAGAGUAUGUGGAAUUGAGUCCAGUUAUUAGAGAUGAUGUCUACGAGUAAGUUAGAACGUUAGUCCUCGACGACAACGCUUCGAGCUAAUCGGGAUUUCAAAUGGCAUCAAGGUGGGCCCAUAACCCACAGGUUGAUGAUCCAGACAAUCGAAGAUACGUUACGUGUUUGUGCUAUGGAUUUCAAAGGCAACUGGGAUAAAGAAGAAGAAUGUAAACUACUUGGGCCAGAGUUAUUACGGACGAUAACGUCUACGAUGACAUCUUACGAGACUAUUACGAGUCAAAUCGAUUGAUUGUCGAGAACGUUGAAAGGAUAACAUAAAUUGAAUAACGAUUUCGUAAAGUAGAGUGGGAAUUUGAGAAGACCUUGGCAAUAUCUCUCUUCAACUAAAAAUUCUUUUGAUUGUUUUCUCAUCAGUGAGAUAUUAUCAUGAUAUCUUUUCUAUAAAAGUUUUGAUAAAUGAGAUCUUCAAUUUCUCAAAUUCUAAGAUGAUAAUGAUAUUGAUUAUUGGUGUGAGUUAGUAUUGAAUCGGUGUAUGAUAAAGGCGUGUUAUGAAGAGACAGUGGAAUUCCUUGAUAUUAUUGAUAUUCUGUGAUAUCCCUUGAUAUUCUUCCAUAUUCUUUGAUAUCCCUUAAUAUUCGUUGAUAUUCGUUGACAUUCUUUGACACUCUUUGAUAUUCCUUGAUAUCUUUUCGAUAUUCCUUAAUAUAUUCCUCGAUAAUCCUUAACAUUCCUUGAUGCUCCUUGAGAUUUCUUGGAUUCUUUCCAUCUGAUUGGGAUGAACAACCCUAUGUAUAGGGGACACAAGGUAUACCUGUCUGUGUGAUAGGAGUUGGAUGGGACGCCAUCACUUGUGUGUGUUGUGAUUACAAGAAGGUUAAAAACCUUUAGUAGUGUCUAAUAUGGACACGCAACAUGAAGUUCAUUUGAUCGUAUUGAUCUCCCAGUCACUCUUGUAUUCCAAUGUGACCUAUUUUGAAAAUAUCUUGUUCCUCCGAAAUUCCCAAAGAUUGAUUCUUGGGAAAUGAAGUUUGCAAUUGUGAAGGUUUUGAUUCUCCUAUUUCUUUAACUUUGAAGGGUAUGCCAAAGUUGAGCAAAGGCGGACGAGCAUGUGAUAUUAUGAAGCGUGUACAAUGAUCUUAUAAAUGAUACGUUUUAGUUCUCAUCGCGGAUUCUGAGGACAGAAUCCUUAUAAGGGGGUGGAAUGUAAUAUCCCAUAUUAUUAAAUUUAGAUUUGAUUAUUAUAAAUCUAUUUGUCUAGAUAUUAUUGUUGUCUGUAGUUGAAUAUUGAUGUGAUUAUGUGAAAUAGUUGUAUGUGAUUAUACUUGUUUCAUGGAUUAAUAUGGAUUUUACAGAUUUUUCGUCCUCCUUCUUUCUUUGAUUCCGAGGACGGAAUCCCUAUAAGGAGGGUAGAUUGUAAUGACCCGGAUUUUUAAAAAUUUUUAUUAGUAUUAAAAGUGAUUUUCUUUAAAGAAGGGUCGAUAAUCCCUAAUAUUCUUGAUGCUCCUUGAGAUUUCUUGGAUUCUUUCCAUCUGAUUGGGAUGAACAACCCUAUGUAUAGGGGACACAAGGUAUACCUGUCUGUGUGAUAGGAGUUGGAUGGGACGCCAUCACUUGUGUGUGUUGUGAUUACAAGAAGGUUAACAACCUUUAGUAGUGUCUAAUAUGGACACGCAACAUUAAGUUCAUUUGAUCGUAUUGAUCUCCCAGUCAUUCUUGUAUUCCAAUGUCACCUAUUUUGAAAACAUCUUGUUCUAUUCGAAAAUUCCCAAAGAUCGAUUCUUGGGAAAUGAAUUUUGCAAUCGCGAAAGUGUGAUUUUCCUUUUCCAUUAAAGUCAAAGGUAUGCCAAGAUCAAUCGAAGGUGGAUGACGAUAUGAUAUUACGAAGUGUGUACGUUUUAGUUUCUUCGGAGGAUUCCGAGGACGGAAUCCUUAUAAGGGGGGUAGAAUGUAAUAUCCCAUAUUAUUAAAUUUAGAUUUGAUUAUUAUAAAUCUAUUUGUCUAAAUAUUAUUGUUGGCUUUAGUUGAAAAGUGAAUUGAUUAUGUGAAUAGUUUUAUGUGAUUAUACUUGUUAUGUGGAUUAAUAUGGAUUUUACAGAUUAUGCGUCCUCCUUCUUUCUCUGAUUCCGAGGACGGAAUCCCUAUAAGGAGGGUAGAUUGUAAUAACCCGGAUUUUAAAAAUAUUUUUAUUAAUAUUAUAAAUGAUUUUCUUAAAAAGAAAGGAAUAAGAUUUAAUAUUUUAUUCCAGUUUAAUGAGUUUUCAAGGUUUUAUAUUUAAACCCCGGGUUAUUGUGUUAUUGAUAAAUAAUUGUAUUUUCAAAACUGAUUUUCAUAUAUUGUUUUGAAAAUUCUGUAUGAAUAUUAUGUGAAUAUAUGUGUUAUGUGAUUAAGUGGUAUUGGUGGAUUUGUUGGUUAAUUAAUUAUGGUUAAUUAUGAGUAUUAUAUGAUUAAUAUAUGAAUUUUUGUGAAUUUUAUAUUAUCUGGUUUAUUGCGUUAACUGCUCAUAUGUGUUCGUAUUUGAGAGAUUUCAAUUUCUAUAUGCUCAGGAGAAAAUAUAGUUUAUUUGGAUAUUUUCAUAUCGAUUUAUGGAAUGUUAGAUGAUUUUAUAAUCGAUUUACGGAUUUAAUUGUGUAUAUUUAUAUUUAUUUAUUAAUUAUUUGACUUCCGUAAAACCGUCCACUCGUAACGAGGUACCAAAUUUUCUUCCCGGAAGUUUCAACAAAACUCACCUUUAGCCUAAUUUGAAUAUUCCGGACAUUUUUCGUGUUUUGACUUUUUCGAUCCGGAGUACGGUUUUCCCCGGAGUCGGUCCGGCGGAGUUUUUCGGGUAUUGUAAUUGUUGAUAAUUAUCCAGUUUGUCUCGAUAAACGUGAAACGAGAUAUUUUCUUCAUCCUUAUCUUGUCAUAAUUGCCAUGGGACCCGCAGACCAAUAAUUGAGUUAAAAAGCCCCGUUUUGAUGAUUAUCUCGAAAACCAGUAUCGAUUGGACCCCGCUUUAUUAAUAUAAAGCUACUAAAUAUGUAUUUUCAUGUCAUAAACGAUCCAAAGGGGUACCAAUUAUUUGUAAAUAUAAAUAUAUCUUUCUAGAGCUUAUUUUCACCGUAGAAAUCAUUUCACCAGUUUCUCUGCACGAAUACCGAGAGAAACCGAGCGGUGUUCUUCGUGUUCUUCAUAAUCAAACGUGGAUUUGAAGGCGUUAUUGGAGUCAGAAUCAAGCGUGCGAAUAGUCAAAUCGAAGAUAUCGAAGAGUAGAACCCAGAUCAAUCAUCAAAAACAACAUGAGAUUCACAGGUAGGGAGUAAUUGAAGGUUUAAAAUUCGAAGUACUAUGAUUUGAAUAGUGAAUUUUUGCAAACGAUGUUGUUUGAUUGUUUUGAUGAUUCCAUGUUGUAGAGCAUCUUCUGCCAUUCGUUUUCAUAUAUCAUAUGUUAGAUUUUGAGUCCAGUAACAUGCUCAAAUAUGUGUUUGAUUCUUCGAAAUUGUAAACUAGGGUUCUUGAGCGAGUUUGAAUGUUUCAAAUUGGGUUUGGGGGUUUCUUAUCCUGUAAAUCUGGGCUGUUUUUGUUGGAAUCAUCGUGUAGAGCUUGAAGAGGGGAAUCGUUUGAUGAUAAGAAGGUGUGUGGAGGAAGCCAGGAGCGUCCCCGCCGGAGCUGCGAAGCUAGCCGGCGGUGAGCCCUGUUCUUCAUCGUUUUCCGGCCAUAAUCGGCCGCCUUUAAUGAUUUUGAGUGUAUAUAUGUGAUGCUAGGAGUGUGUGUAACUGGUCUGGAGGUUCUGGGGUCGAACGGCGGUCUGCAACGCCGUUUCCGGCGAGUCGGGGCGCCGGCGGUAUCAAAUUACCGUUUGGUACCCUGGCUUUUGGAAACAGUGAAGUUUUAGUAUUCUCGUUUCUGUUUUAGCAAGACAGACCCUAAACUUUUCAGAGUUUACACUUUAAACCCUGGACAAAACUUUCAAAAGUUUACACUUUAAACCUUUUGAAUUUAAUUGUCAAAAAUUGUUUUAUUUAAUUAUUUUAAAUUCCAAAAAUAGUUUUUAAUUAUUUAUUUAUUCAAAAAUAAAUCUAAAUUAGUUUAUUAAUUACUUUUAAUUAGUAAUUAAUUAUUUUAAUUGGUCAAUUAAUUUAAAUAUUAAUUGAUUAAUUAUUUUAAUUAAUUAUUAAUUGAUUUUAAUUGAUUAAUUAAUUGGAUUUAAUUAUUCUUUUUGAUUUAAAAAUUCUGAAAAAUAGUUUCGAGCUUUGAAAUAUUUUUCUAAAUUAUGUUCAAGGCUCGACAAUUGUUUAUGAAUGAUUUCAAGUCCAAUUUCAAGUAUUUGGGACUUGAUUAUUUAUCCGAAAAGUGAUUCUUUUAUCGAUUUUAAUUCCGAAAAAUGUUUAAAAAUUCCAGAAAAUUCCCGAAAAAUCAUUUUUAACCCAAGACUUGAUUUAAUAUCAAUUGGGAUGGGAAACCUUAUGUGUUGUGUGUUGUCUGCUAUUGGUUGGAUGUGUUAUGUGCCGAUAGGAGAGUGAGAAAACUGUUUUGAGCAUAACUUUUGAUCCGUAAGUCGGAAUCAAGUGAAACGAAAGAGAGACAGAAGCUUAUAACGUCUAUUUUAAUAUGAUGUGACUAUAUGGCUGAGUCUAUAAGGUGAAUAAUUGUUGAUAAGUAUGCAUAAUGUGAUAAUAUGUGAUCUAAGUGCUAUCAAGUGAUGAUUAUGUGAAGUACGUGUUAGUUUUGAUAUUGUGAAGUGAUAAAUGAUUCGUAUGAUUGAUAUUGGAUAAGAAUAUAUGGAUUAUAGUUAUUGGAUUUUGUUGGUUGAUUAAUGAUUGAGAUAGGAUAAUAGGUGGAUAGUCUUAUACAUAGACGAGACGAUGUCGGAUUUUCGAUAAGGAUUUAUAUGAUAAUUGAUUGGUGAUAUGUUAUGUGGAAUAUGAUUGACUAUAUGUUAGAGUCAAAGCAUGCUUAUGUGUUACGUGGUAUCUGAUAAGUUUAAAGGGAUAUAUAAGUGGGUAUCGGUAUACGUGAUAUGUAUAUGCGAUAUAUUGUUUAGUGACUAUAGUAUUAUCUUAUUCUCGUAAAGGAUUUGGACGAGACGUGUACGCUCGAAGACGUCAGGAAGUCGAAAUGGUAUUGCAAAGCGAAUAAGGGAUGAAUCGAGUAAGCGAAGCGAUGUGGCGAAUAGAGUAUAGCUAGAGAUGGUCUAGAGAUUACGAGAUGCAUAGAUUGUGAAAGUUGAAAGAUGAGAUUGAGCUGUGAAACUGGAGUCAGAUUUAAGGCAAGUAUCCUAAACCCUUCUCUUGGAUAUAUUGCAAAUAUUCUGAUCCAUUCCUUUGGUAUAUGUUUCAAGUAUUCAUACCUUUCUUUUCAAUGUUCGAAAGUGCGAGUAUUCUGACCCAUUCUUUCUAAUCUUCAAGUUUCUAAAGAAUUUCCGUUUUACAAAUUAAUUCGAAGUUCAGAUUGUCAUUGAAGCAUGUGUUGCUCAGUGAUAGUUAGAGCUUUGAAUGAAUUGGGAUCUUCUUGAUUAUUCAACCCGCCAUUGUCAUGCUGGUUUAGCAGGCUAAAUUCAGUUGCUUAGCCGAUAAUGGAGGAUACUGAAUAGUUGAGGAUUUCCUGAACUGUGAUUUAUGAAAUGAUGGAUCAUGAUUUAUGAAUAGAUUAUUAUCAAAGUUUGAAUUGGAAUUAUUCUGUUGUUGAUGAUAUUUAUGAUGAUGUUCUGUUAAUUUACAUUGGCUUCUUGAAUUGAAUUAGAGAAUUGGAUUAUUGUUUUUAUAUAAACCUGUGGACCAGAUUCGUGGUCAUGUUAGGCCAAUGAGUGCCUUGGAUCCAGUGAUAGAGCAUGGCGGGGCCUGCUCGGGGUUAGUGCGGAACUGAUCAGCUGCCUAACCUUGGUUUUAAUUAAAAUGUGAUAGUCCAAUUCAAUAAUUCUUUGGAAAGAUUGAAUUUCUCAGUUUAAAUGCUGCAAGGUAUUGUAAAUCAUUCUAUACAAUACCAUGAACUCAUGAACUCAGGUUGAAUCCUCUUAUAUCUUGAACUCGUGAACUUCUGUUAUAUCAUUUCAGAACUAUCAUUGUUUAUUAUUACUUGCUGAGCAUUGUUGCUCACCCUUGCUAUUCCUUUCUAACCAUUUCAGAAAGGCUUAAAGAUGAGAUGAUUGAUUGAGAUUGUGAGUAAGGCCAAUGCUAGGCGAGGAGACAGAGUUGAGGAUCCAGUGGUCGAAGAGUGUUCAGGAAAGUUGAUGAGGCUGGUGCAAGCUGGAAUAGUUGACAGUGAUUCUUCUUAUCGAAGAUGAUCUGAUUUGGUAAGAGAUGUUGUGUAAUAAUAGUGGUAGAUUCUAAUUUCAAUACUGUAACCUGGAUGCGAUCCUGUUGUUUUGGGG